GGGGGUGUGACUCAGUGGCGAGCACUUGCCUAGCAAGUAUGAGGCCCUGGGUUCCAUCCCCAGCACACCCU
This 71-nucleotide transfer RNA is filed under the name Heterocephalus glaber (naked mole-rat). It matches the Rfam family "tRNA". From Rfam's summary of the family: Transfer RNA (tRNA) molecules are approximately 80 nucleotides in length. Their secondary structure includes four short double-helical elements and three loops (D, anti-codon, and T loops). Lineage: Eukaryota; Metazoa; Chordata; Mammalia; Rodentia; Bathyergidae. The record is from Rfam by way of RNAcentral.